Armigeres subalbatus is the source of this 892-nucleotide long non-coding RNA. RefSeq lists it as uncharacterized. The record is from RefSeq and is a predicted model, not a curated record. Lineage: Eukaryota; Metazoa; Arthropoda; Insecta; Diptera; Culicidae. The transcript has 2 exons.
GGGUGUAAUUUGGGGUGUUUUAAAAAUCAGCCUUCACGAUUACCAACUAAAUCUGGUGCCGACCAAAUCAUUCGCAUGGACAACCUAUUUUGUCGAGUGACUCAUAGGAACUACUCAAAUCGACGUAUCAAUCGAUAGAUUAAGUAGUGUUUAUACAUCAGAUUUAAUCGGGGUAAUAGUUGGUAGAUCAUAUUUGCUUAGAGUAUUUGUUUACUUAUAUAAGUGCUGUGAUUAUUCGACAAAAAAAUAGUUAAAGGGUGAAUAUUUAGUUAGUAAGUUGCAAAGUUUAGUGCAACAAUGCCAAAUAUGUGUUUGCGCAAAUAGUAUCGCUCACUUUUUCGUCCUCAAUCAACAAUCGCAACAAGUUUCGAAGGGAAAUCCUGCUUCCUAUUAAAAAUUGGCCGGAACGGAGUAUGGGCUCAGAGUGACAACUUUUUUCUUCUUCUUCUCCUAUGGCUCUACACUCCAACUGAAACUUUGCUUGCUUCUCAACUUCUAUUAGCAUUCUUACUCUGCCGCCAUUGCAUGAGUAUAUAUCUCGUCUGGCAAGUACAAUGGAUACACUGUACCCAGGGAGUCGAGAAAGUUCCCCAGCCGAAAACAUCCUAGACCGGACCGAGGACCGUCUCCGGAUUGGCCUUUGUUAGUAAGGCUUUAACUGGAGACCCGGUGAUACCCAAAAAGACGACUUCCACAUUGGACCCUACAUAUUGUACCCAUCAACAUAAGAACUGCGACCUAUGGCUUUUCUGUCUGCCUGUAGGAAGAUUGGAUCCAGACAUGUUCCGUUUUAAUUAAUGCCAACGGCAACCAUAAACAUCACGGCUUUUUGGCAACUGUACUAACUAAAUAAACUUAUUAUCAAUCGAUUAAAUAAAAUUAAAUCACCCUA